GGCUUUAUAUUCAUAAUAAUGAUUUUAGAUUGCAAAUCUAAAGGAGUAGAAAUCUACUAAGGCUU
This 65-nucleotide transfer RNA is filed under the name Diestramima tibetensis. Its description in RNAcentral is "tRNA-Cys". Lineage: Eukaryota; Metazoa; Arthropoda; Insecta; Orthoptera; Rhaphidophoridae. The record is from RNAcentral.